RNAcentral lists this long non-coding RNA (8717 nucleotides) under Prunus dulcis (almond). Its description in RNAcentral is "sRNA ncRNA". The record is from RNAcentral. Lineage: Eukaryota; Viridiplantae; Streptophyta; Magnoliopsida; Rosales; Rosaceae.
CUAAGGGGUCACUUAGAUGUUUAUUUUUUAUAUAUAAAUAUAAUUAUUUUGUAUAAUAAAUUUAUACCAAAAUCAUGCAAAAUGAAAGAAUAUAUAAAAGAAAACUUCUAACUUUUACUUUUGUAUUUUCUGUAACCUUAAUAUUUUUUUUUAAAAAAAAAAACUGCUUAAAAAAAGUUUACUUUUUUUAAUAUAGGGCCAUUUUAAUACAAUGUUUAAGCCCAUUUUACAAAACCCAACCCAUUAGUUAUAUUAAAAAUUAGGUUAGAUGUCUUCUUCCCAGCGUAGCCUACACUCCUUCCUCUCGCUGUUUCGACUUCAUCUCUUUCUUUCUCUCGGUCUUUCUUCAUGCAGCGCCUCAGUGCUACCUUAAGCGUCGACGCCUCAACGGAAAAACGCCAGCCCAGACCAGCCCAGGUGGCCUAGGCUGCCUAGGCUGGGGCUAGGCGACCUAGGCGGCGCCCAACUCCCUGGCGGCUACUCCUUCCUCUCGCUGUUUCGACUCCAUCUCUCUCUUGGUCUUUCUUCAUAACAAGCAGCCACCUUAAGCGUCGCCGCCUCCUGCGCUCUUUAACCGCUCCUCGUCGACGCCUCAACGGCAAAACGCCCGCCUAGACCAGCCCAAGCCGCCUAGGCGGCCUCGGCGGUGCCCAACUCCCUGGCGGUUACUCCUUCCUCUCGCUGUUUCGACUCCAUCUCUUUCUCGGUCUUUCUUCAUAACAAGCAGCCACCUUAAGCGUCGCCGCCUCCUGCGCCCUUCAAUCGCUCCUCGUCGACGCCUCAAUGGCAAAACGCCCACCCAGACCAGCCCAUGCCUCCUAGGCGGGGGCUAGGAGGCCUAGGCGGCGCCCAACUGCCUGGCUCCUACUCCUUACGAUUAGGAUGAAAUGGCAGCGGUGUCCUACCGCCUAGCAACUUGAAUGUAUCGGUGUGAAAGGCUGAUCAAAGCUACGCACCUUGCAUAGGAAAUUGACUUCCGAAAGAUGGUUCUCUUCGGUGACCCGUAAACACAUGUUAUGCUAUCACUUCCGUAGUAAAUAUAAAUUUAACCUGCCGUUUAAUGAAGUUGAACUACAAUACGAGAGAGAAGAAAAAACAAGUUGAUUUCCGAUAGCUGUUAAUUGAAGCAGUUUCCGAAGCAUUAUUUCAUUUUGAUGCUUCUAAAACAAAUUAAAGCAUGGAGUGGAGUUUAUCACAUUCUGUUCUCACAUGGCUCCUGGUAAUAUCCAUAACACCAGGGCAACCACAGAGGGCCAUAGUGAGCUCAAACUCCAUCUUUCAGCAUUUCGAUAAACAAUUGCACUCACAGAGUUUAGGUCAGUUGAUAAAAUCCCUUCAAAGUUCUUCAACUGAGGUGCAACCAUUCUGCAGAAGUUGUCACAGUCAUGUUUCAAAUGAGAUGCAUAAUGUUAGAAUUCUCUGUUUAUAUAUGUAUUUUCAGAUUAGGAAGAGGUGUAUAUUCUGGAGAUUUUAGCUAGAGAGAAUGAAGAGAAAAUGGGGAAGGCACUGUUCUAUUGAAUUCUGACAAUCUGCAGCUUACAUAGUGUGUCUGACAGAGAGAGAAAUGUGAUUCUCUCCUAACAGAAUUACAACUGUCACCCUAUUAGGUGCUUACACGUGUCAUACCAAAUCUAAGCUAGAGAAUCCACCUAGACUAUGAUCUAAUGGUUCUCAUUACAUCAUUUAAAAUAGACUUAACAGAAAAAUAGGAAAUGACUUCAGCUCUAAGAAAUCUGUAGAAGGAUUAUAUUUCAACACUCCCUUCUAAUCCUUUAGCUGAUUUCACUCAAAGCAAGCUUCUCAGCCUCACAAACCGAUCCUUAGGCAGAGCCUUAGUCAAAAUGUCUGCUAUCUGAUCUUCUGUCUUGCAGUACUCCAGUUCAAUUUCUUUUGCUUGAAUGGCUUCCCUUAUAAAAUGAAAUUUCCUGCUGAUGUGUCUUGUCUUUUGGUGAUGAACUGGAUUCCUUGCCAUUGCAAUUGCAGAGGUGUUGUCACAUAGAAUUGGAGUCCCUUCUAUCUGUUCUUCACCAAAAUCUUCAAGCACAAAUCUGAGCCACUUAGCUUGUGAAGUUGCUUCUGCAGCACUCACAUACUCAGCUUCGGCUGUAGAUAAAGCAACUGUGUUUUGCUUGAUGGAAGCCCAAGAGAACAUGCCUGAGCCUAGUGUGAAGGCAUAUCCUGAGGUGCUCCUCAUAUCAUCCUCACUCCCAUCCCAGUCACUGUCACAAUACCCAAUUAGAGUAGCUGUUUUCCCCUUUGCAAACUCAAUUCCAAAAUCUAAUGUGCCUUGUAUGUAUCUCAGCACCCUUUUAGCAGUUCCCAUGUGUUUCUUUGAGGGAUUGUGCAUAAACCUAGCAAGCAAGCUAGAUGCAAACAUGACAUCUGGUCUUGUGGCAGUCAGAUAAAGUAGACUUCCUACAAUCUGUCUGAAUUCAUUUUCAUCUGCUGCUUCACUUCCAUCUUCUCUACACAAUUUCUCAUUCACCACUAAUGGAAUUGCCACUGACUUGCAGUCUCUCAUUCCAAACUUCUCAAGAAUUUUCAUGGCAUAUUUCUUUUGUUGAAUGAAAAUAUGCUUGUCAGUUUGUUCCACUCCCAUGCCAAGAAAAUGAUGCAACAGACCCAAGUCUGUCAUCUCAUAGUGUUGCAUCAUAUCUUGUUUAAAUUCUUCAAGCAUUUUAGGACAGCUUCCAGUAUAUAUAAUGUCAUCUACAUAGAGUGAGACAAUGAUAAUACCUGAGGUGUCACUUGUUUUGAUAUAGAGAGUAGCUUCACUUAAGCUUUUCUUGAAACCUGCAGUGUUGAAAUAGGCAUCUAUUUCAUCAUACCAGGCCCUUGGGGCUUGUUUCAGUCCAUAUAGAGCCUUGUUCAACCUGUACACCUUGGUUUCCUUGCUCUCUUGAACAUAUCCUUGAGGUUGUUCAACAUAAACUUCCUCCUUUAGAAUGCCAUUGAGAAAGGCAGACUUCACAUCUAGUUGAAAUAGGUUCCAUUCCUUUUGUGCUGCAAGGGCUAUCAAAGUUCUGAUGGUGUCAAGUCUUGCCACAGGGGCAAAUGUCUCAUUAUAGUCGAUUCCAGGCUUCUGUGAAUAGCCUUUAGCCACAAGCCUAGCUUUAUUCUUCUGCACAGUGCCAUCUAGGUUCAGUUUGACCUUGUAGACCCACUUAACACCAAUUACUGGUUUGUUAGAUGGCCUGUCAACUAAUUUCCAAGUAUUGUUCUUCUCAAUCAUCUCCAAUUCAGCCUCCAUUGCACAUCUCCAUGAUUCAUCCAAAUCUGCUUCUUCAAAGCUGUCAGGUUCUACAAUGCACAUGUUGCAUUGUGCCAUGAUGUCAUUAAUACUCCUCCACUUGUGAGGUGUGUGAUCAAGCCUUUGAGUCUCUUCAAGCAUUUCUUCCCCUUGAGGUGCAAUUUCUUCUUCCAUCUGCAUUUGAGUAUCCAAGAACUGAGAGUGAUCAUCUAAUACCCUCUGUUCAGUUUCUGCAGUAUCUUGAUUUCCAUCUGGCAUAGGUACUCCCACAUCUGCAUUGCUAGGAUUCUCCCAUUUCCAUGAGGCUUCUUCAUCAAAAUAGACAUCCCUAGACAAGAUAAUCUUUCUUGUCUUAGGAUCAUACAGUCUAUAGCCUUUUUCACACAAUCCAUAGCCCAUAAAAAUGCAUUUGUGACUGUUUUCUUCCAACUUGUGUCUCAAAACAGAAGGAAUAAGCACAUGACAUAGGCAUCCAAACACUUUCAAGUGUGCAAUACCUGGCUUUCUUCCUGUGUAGGCCUCAAAUGGUGUCAUUUUCUUAAGAGACUUAGAAGGACACCUGUUGAGAAGGUAGACUGUUGUAUGAACAGCUUCUGCCCAAAACUCAUAUGGAAGACUCUUUUCAUGUAGCAUAGACUUUGCCAUCUCAAUCACAGUCCUGUUCUUCCUCUCAACAACUCCAUUUUGCUGAGGGGAAUAUGCUACUAUCAGCUGCCUUUGUAUUCCAGCCUCACUGCAGUAUGCAAGAAAUUCAUUUGACAUGAAUUCUCCACCUCUGUCACUUCUAAGUGAUUUCACCUUGUGUCCACUCUGCAAUUCUGUCAUUGCUUUGAACUUCUUGAAACAUUCAAAAGCAUUAGAUUUAUUUCUGAGAAAAUAAACCCAAGCCAUUCUUGUAUAGUCAUCAAUGAAUAACAGGAAAUAUCUGUUUUCUGACAUUGAUGCAAUCUGCAUUGGACCACAGAUGUCAGUGUGAACUAAUUCAAGUGGAAACUGAGCUCUCCAAGUAGAUUCUGCAAGAAAUGAGUCUCUAUGCUGCUUUCCCAGCUUGCAGCCUUCACAAACUGCAAAAUCCUUCUCCAGACUAGGCAGUCCAUGAACCAUGUCUUGAUUUGCCAACAUCCUGAUGCUUUGAUCAUUAAGAUGGCCCAGCCUUUUAUGCCAAGUCUGCAAACUGUGAGUCACACUUGCUCUCAGCACCAACUGAGUAGCAGGUACCAUUGUGAGAGAAACACCUAUUGCUAGUCAUUGGAACCUUAGCUAUAGGAUUUUGCAGUGACCAAUCAUCAAAAAUUGUCACCAUUCUCUUUCCAAAUACUAAACAAUACCCAUGUUCCAUCAUCUAACCAACACUGAGCAAGUUCUCUUCUAAACCAGGCACCAACAUCACUUCUUGAAUGUGUUUUCUGCCUGUCUUGGUUUCUAUCACAAGUGUACCUUUUCCUGCAACUUGAACUGUCUCUCCAGUCCCCAUUUUCACCUUGGAAGUUACAUCCCUUCGAAUAUCUAUCAGUAGCCUUUCAUCUCCAGUCAUGUGGUUGCUACAACCACUGUCCACAUACCAAGAAUUGUUCAAUUUCACAUCUGUCACAGCAUUGCAUGCAUAAAACAAUGUUCCAGUUUCUUCAACCUGAUUGGNNNNNNNNNNCUUCACAGCAUUCCAAUGCUCUCUGCCUGGUUUAGACAGGAAUCUGCUUACAACACCAACUGCGUGCGUUAUGUCUGGCCUCGUGCAAAUCAUUGCAUACAUCAAACUACCAACAGCUGAGGAAUAUGGCACCAUAGCCAUGUUUUCUUUUUCUUUCUCACAUGUGGGACUCUGCUUUGAACUAAGCUUAAAGUGACUAGGAAAUGGAGUAGAAACUGAUUUUGCUUUAUCCAUGUUAAACCGCUUUAGUGCCUUCUCGAUAUAACUUUCUUGUGAUAACCUCAACUUCCGAUUUUUUCUAUCACGGGAUAUACUCAUACCGAGGAUUCGUUUUGCGGGUCCUAAGUCUUUCAUAGCAAAAGACUUGCUCAACUCUUUCUUCAGCUUGCUAAUCUUGUCACUGUUUUGUCCUACGAUCAACAUGUCAUCGACAUAGAGAAGAAGUAUGAUGAAUUCACCAUCAUCAAAUCUUUUCACAAAUACACAAUGGUCUGAAGUAGUCCUUCGAUAUCUGUGUUCAAUCAUGAAGGAAUCAAACUUUUUAUACCAUUGUCGAGGCGCCUGCUUGAGUCCAUAUAAGCUCUUUUUCAGCCGACAUACCAAAUGUUCUUUUCCUUUGACUUUGAAUCCUUCUGGAUGCUCCAUGUAGAUUUCUUCUUCAAGAUCUCCGUGAAGAAAAGCUGUCUUCACAUCUAGCUGUUCGAUCUCGAGAUUCAGGCUUGCAGCCAAACCAAGUACAACCCGUAUGGAUGACAUCUUCACUACGGGUGAGAAAAUCUCUUCAAAGUCAAUUCAUUUCUUCUGACUGAAACCUUUCACAACUAGCCUUGCCUUAAACCUGGGCUUAGAGUUGUUUUCUUCCGUCUUCAGUCGAUACACCCAUUUGUUCUUGAGUGCUCUUCUACCUUUUGGUAGGUUCACCAGAUCAUAUGUAUGGCUCUCAUGCAGAGAUUGCAUCUCUUCAUGCAUAGCUUUCAACCACUCAUCUUGUUGAUCAUGAGUCAAUGCUUCUUUAUAGCAUUCUGGUUCUCCCCCGUCUGUUAGGAGAACGUAAUCAUCUAGAAAAUACCUACUCGAAGGUCUCCGUACCCUGGUCGAUCUUCUUGGUUGGAAUUUGCCCACUGGCUCUUCAUGGGAUUGUGCUUCUAGCCCCUCAUCAGCUACAUCAUCUACUAUACCAUCAGUUGUGUGAUCAUCACUCGUUUCAUCAUCAACUGGUUCAUUUAUAAUUGGAUCACUAGCUGGAUCUUCAGUAUCAUUGGAUUCAUCUCGCCCGUCACUGUGCUCCAAUGAAGGAGGAACUGGAUCCAAGUUAGUUGGAUAUUCUCUAGGAUUAUCAAGUUUAUCACUUCUUCGAAUGUCUUCAAUGUUCUGAUCUUCAAAGAAGACAACAUCUCUACUUCUAAUAAUCUUUCUAGCUAUAGGAUCCCAUAACCUAUAACCGAUUCUUCAUUCCCAUAUCCCACGAAGAUACAUUCUUUCGACUUUGCGUCGAGCUUGGAUCUCUCGUCUUUAGGAAUAUGAACAAAAGCUCUACAACCAAAAACUUUCAGAUGAUUGUAGGAAACGUCUUUUCCCGACCAGAACUUGCUCGGGACAUCACCAUUCAAAGGUGCUGAAGGAGAAAGGUUGAUUAGAUCAACCGCAGUCAUCAGGGCUUCACCCCAAAAACUUUUGGGCAGCUUGGCAUGAGAUAACAUUGUUCUUAUUCUUUCAACAAUUGUUCUGUUCAUUCUCUCAGCUAUGCCAUUAUGCUGAGGAGUCUUCGAACAGAUCUUUCAUACCUGAUUCCGUUACUUCUACAGUAGUUUCUAAACGCCCCCAUAUAUUCUCCUCCAUUAUCGGUGCGAAUACAUUUGAAGCUUCUACCAGUCUCUCGUUCAACGCUAGCAUGAAACUGCUUGAAAACUUCAUACACUUGAUCUUUUGUUCUAAGUGCGUAAGCCCAUACCUUCCUGGAAUGAUCGUCAAUGAAGGUAACAAAAUAUCUUGCACCACCAAGAGUACUAGUAGUCAUAGGACCACAAACAUCAGAGUACACAACAUCCAAUACAUUGGGUUUUCUUUGUGCAUGACCAUGUUGAAAUGAAGCUCUAUGCUGCUUUCCAGCCAAGCAAUGCGUGCAUGAUUUUAGAGGCAUGCCUUUCUUCAUCCCAGUCAGUGCCUCUCUUUUGGCUAGAAUUUGCAGCCCUUUCUCGCUCAUGUGACCGAGCCGUUUAUGCAAUAGCUCGAUUGAGUCUUCUGCGAGAGCAUUUACGUACCCAUUACUAACUUUUGCAUGUGUCAUGUAUAAGGUGUUCUCCUUCUUCCCUCGUGCUAGGACAAGAGAGUUCUUGCUGAGUUUCCAUUUCCCUUCAGCAAAGACAUUAGUGUAUCCUUCAUCGUCAAGUAAUCCAGUGGAGAUUAGAUUAAGACGCAUGUCUGGAACAUGUCUCACAUCCUUGAGGACCAAGUGACAACUUGUGUUGGUUUCAAGGGAAAUAUCUCAUCUUCCCAUGAUCUUGGAAAAUUUGUCAUUUCCCAUCCUCACAUUACCAAAAUCUCCAUUGGUGUAAGAUGUAAAGAAGUCCCUCCGUGAGGUGACAUGAAAUGAUGCACCAGAGUCCACUAUCCAGCAUGUAUCUUGAGAGGACAAAUUAACGAAGCCAUCACCACAUAGAAUAAUUACCUCAUUUCCAUCAGAGGUAGUUGCGGUCGUGUGCCUGGCAUCACUCUUUUCGUUACCUCUAUCUUGCUCUCGUUUAAACAACCUGCACUCUCUUUUCAUGUGGCCUAUCCCGCCACAAUGGUAACAUUCUAGGUCCUUUCUUGUCUUGGCCCUUCCUCUCGAGCCAUCUCUUGACCUGCCCUUUGACUUGUCUCGCCUGUGGAAUUUUCUAUUGUUAGUUCUUCCACGAUACUCUGAGACGAGGGCUUCUGACUCGGCUACUACACCUUGUUCUUUCCUCCUUGCUUCUUCAUUGAACAUGCUAUCUUUAACUAUGUCCAAUGUAAGAACACCUUGAGGAGCUGAAUUGCUUAAGGAUACUACUAGUGUAUCCCAGCUAUCAGGCAAAGAGCUGAGUAACACUAGUGCUUGUAACUCAUCAUCAAGCACCAUCUUCAUAUUCGUCAACAGGUUGAUCAAACCUUGGAAGUCACUGAGAUGCUCGGUAACACUUCGACCAUCUCUGUACUUAAGGUUUACCAACCGUCGGAUAACCGAUGCUUUAUUUUGAGCGGUCUUCCGCUCGUACAUGGACGACAAUUUUGUCCAUAAUUUGUAUGCAUCCGUCUCUUGUGACACAUGGUGGAACACACUUUGAUCCACCCAUUGUCGGAUUUGUCCGACAACUUUUCUAUUCAGAAUGCUCCAUGCAUCGUCUGACUUCCCUGCUGGUUUUUGUCCCAGCAAUUGAAGGGGCUCAUACAAAUCCUUGCAGUAAAGGAUGUCCUCCAUUCUUGGAUUCCAAAUGGAGUAAUUGGAUGCAGUCAAUUUUAACAUUGUUGCUGAUGAUGAUGACGAUGACUCCUCCAUCUUAAAUUACACAAGAAUAUAAUUUUUGAGCCGAAGCUCUGAUACCACUUGUUGGGAAAGAUUGUGAAAAUCAAAGAGCCAAUAAAUAAAUAUGGCACUCUCAGGAUCUGACUUCUCCCAGCCUUGUGUAAAUAAAAUGGGCAAAAAUAACACUCUAUCUUCAACUAAGAAAAAAUAAUGGGAGUACAAUAAUAAUCUCUCCAAACACCGGUGGCUAAACUCUCUCUUAGUUUUUCUCUCAAGAGGAUUUUCUCUCACACACAAGUGAGGUUUUCUUAUCUCUCAAAACUCUCUAUGUUUUG